This 1006-nucleotide long non-coding RNA is filed under the name Triticum aestivum (bread wheat). RNAcentral describes it as "long non-coding RNA (TAES_LNC016340)". The record is from RNAcentral. Lineage: Eukaryota; Viridiplantae; Streptophyta; Magnoliopsida; Poales; Poaceae.
CGCAUCUAUAUGUUGGCUUUCCAAAGUUCCAUAUCGUGCUAUCAUAACUUCUGGACGUAGUGCUGCUGCUUGUUUCUAUGAUGUUGCUUUGAAGGUCAUUGUCCCUCCCAUUUCUCCUUGAACGCUUGACAUCUCUUAUUUCAUUGAUUUGUUCCUUUCUCUUCCGUGAAGCAUCUUCUUCUAUUUUAUUGGUUGUUUCAUGUGUAUUCCUGCAUCUCUUACUCCUUUUUUCUUGUAGUUGUUGUUUCCUCCUGAUAAUAGCUUCUUUAGCUUCUUUUGCAAGUGGGCCUGCUGAUUUUGAUGUAUACUGUCCCUUCAUUUCUGCAUUUGAUAUUCUUUUAGCAAUAUAGUAUCAAAUAUUUGAAAGGUACUUUAUGCACAAUGUCAUAAACAAAACAAUGUAUGCACUAAAUAAGAGAUGCUGGCUGCAUGUAGAAACAACCUAUAAUUCUUAUCAAUCAUGCUUUUCAGGAUUGUUGUGUUGCGUGGUUCGAGCUGCAGUGUAUGGCAUUAUUGGUGUGACAGUGUGGUUGUUUCUCAGUGCACGACAAUUGCUCCAUGGGAAUUACUACGGCGAAGUACUCUCAAAGUCAUUUUUAGCACUACACGUAAAAUUAUUUGGUUUUGUAAUAUUUACAAAGGGAAAUCUUUCAAAUGUAUAUUUUAGAGAAGUACAAAAAAUUAGUCAUUACAUGAAGAUAUAAAAAGGUGAAUGAUAUACCUGAUAGUGUCUUCUUGCCUUGGUUUUUAAAAUUUGUAAAGCUUCACACGCUUCUGCUAAUAAAUUAUUGUCACAAUUGUAUCUUUGCUGCAAAGCAAAUCCUGUACUGAUCCUGGAAAGUAUUUCGUGUGAUGUACAAAAUUAUUAGAGCAUAUCUUUCUAUUGCUGCCAUGAUUUUAUCAGUCUGUAUGUCACUUUUAGUUCAUCACAGAAGCUAGUACUGUUUUCUAAAAGAAAAUAGAGCUUAUGUGAAGAGCCAAGGCAUGACGUGUGAGAAUAGCUUAU